Molecule: ribosomal RNA, 1785 nt
Filed under: Triticum aestivum (bread wheat)
Lineage: Eukaryota; Viridiplantae; Streptophyta; Magnoliopsida; Poales; Poaceae
Description: partial small subunit ribosomal RNA
Source: RNAcentral
AUGACUGAUUUUUUUAGCGGGAUCCAAGCUGGUAUGGUUGUCAAUCGAUUAGAGAACAAUGAACAGUCGCCCGAAGAUUGGAACAGUGAUGGGGAUGGUUCAGGGGGCACAACUGGUUUGCUUGAAUCACCAUGUUUCACGUCCAGGCUUUCUGUGCUCAAAGUGGGUUCAGUCAUAAGCAAGUUUUCUGAAUUCAAGUGCCAAUUAGUCAGGGAAACUGGAUUCGAUGGAAUGCUUGAGAUAAAAUCAUGGCAGAAGAUCAACCUGAAAUACAACGCUUAUAUAAUGGAUAGAGUCGAUGUAGAUUCACGUAUAAUAAAUCUUGAGCGCCAAGGUGUUAUUGAACUAUGUGACAAGGACAUGAAUUAUGUGUUUGGCAUCCCAUGUGGCGAUUCAACCAUAGAAGGCGAGGGAGUUGAGCCGUCAGUAGCUUGCAUUGAGUAUACCCGUGCGGCAGCAUCAUUUAGUGAUAGAGGCACCCACAGCCUGAAAGCAGCAGAGGCAUACUUAAGCAGAUGCAUAGCAGAAUCAUCUACUCAAUUAGAGCAGGACUGCUUCAAAAUUGCUUUUGUUAUUUUUGUUGUUGGUCAUGUGUUGGCACCUACUGCGAAGCACGAUUAUAUAUUAAUUGAUUUCUGGGCUGCACUGAAUGAUAUCAGCAAGAUAAAGGAUUGGAAUUGGGGAGGAUACGCGUUGAAAAAUCUUUUUCAAGCUGUCAAAAAGUUCAAGGCAGAUGUUUUGAGGAGAAACCCAACCGUGCAUAUAGUUGGAUGUCAUCUGUUUCUGCAGCUUUUUGUGCUUGAUAGCCUCGAGCUGGGUGUUCUAAACAGGGCAAGAGGUGUAACCCCGCGUAUAGGCUUGUACGACUAUGAGUCGAUCAAGAAUAUGGUUGAGAAAAUUACAGUGAAUUCUGCCCCGGGCGAAGUUUCCUUUCACGGCGCACCGGUGCGGAGCGAGCUCUCCGUGAGAAACCUAAGUGUGUGUCGUCCGAAGGAAGUUUGUGCAACAAAUACACCAAAGCCCACGACAGCGCCCAAAAAGGCAAAUGCAACGUGCACACCAAUUCCACGGAAUAGCUAUGCCAAAACCGAUGCGCAAGAGUUUUCAAAUUAUAUACGAACACGCUACCCAAGCAUAUCAACGGAGAAACUCGGCGUACUUCUCCGUGAGCAGAAUGCCCGUGGGCUAGCAAAUAUUUCAGAAAUGCGUCAAGCCUUCCAGUCCAAUAUGUUCACUUUCACUGACAAGCUAAUGAUAUGCAUAGCAGAUAGCUGCACUUGUUGCAAGGCGCAUGGAAGCAAAAGGUGCAUCUUGAAGAGGGAAGACACCAACACCGACAAUGUACCUCCCAUGGCAUCAGUAGAUCAAACCCAAUUCAGCACGCCUUUAGUAAGCAAGAUUGGACCCCGAUUACCAGCACCAGGGAACCAUGAAGAUGGAGUACCUUUGAAGAUUGAUCUACCUCAAUGCAACUUUGGAAGAGACCCGUGGGUUGCUGGAUCAGUCCCAGCACCACCCAUUCCAACUGUUCUUAGGGCUAUAAGAGACUGGAUGACUGGAGCUUCCAUGCUAAACCUUGAGAGGAAAUGGAUCGUGCAUCCCAAACCAAGACUUAUAUCUCUAGAUGGUGUUGAAAUCCAUCGACAGCUUGUGCUAAAUGAUCCAAUGACCCAUGAGAUGGCCACAGCUAUUUUUCAUAGACUUGGUCAAAUUGAUAUGUUAUUCUCGAAGGACACUCCCAGACACAUAUGGAGGAAAUUUGUUGAACCAGACUUUGCGGACUAG